GACGAACGCUGGCGGCGUGCCUAAUACAUGCAAGUCGAACGAACCGCGACUAGGUGCUUGCACUUGGUCAAGGUGAGUGGCGAACGGGUGAGUAACACGUGGGUAACCUACCUCAUAGUGGGGGAUAACAGUCGGAAACGACUGCUAAUACCGCAUAGGACAUGGAAUCACAUGAUUCUGUGAGGAAAGGUGGCGCAAGCUAUCGCUAAGAGAUGGACCCGCGGUGCAUUAGCUAGUUGGUAGGGUAACGGCCUACCAAGGCGAUGAUGCAUAGCCGACCUGAGAGGGUGAUCGGCCACAUUGGGACUGAGACACGGCCCAAACUCCUACGGGAGGCAGCAGUAGGGAAUCUUCCGCAAUGGACGCAAGUCUGACGGAGCAACGCCGCGUGAGUGAAGAAGGUCUUCGGAUCGUAAAGCUCUGUUGUUAGAGAAGAACAGCGCAUAGAGUAACUGUUAUGCGUGUGACGGUAUCUAACCAGAAAGCCACGGCUAACUACGUGCCAGCAGCCGCGGUAAUACGUAGGUGGCGAGCGUUGUCCGGAUUUAUUGGGCGUAAAGGGAGUGUAGGCGGUCUAUUAAGUCUGAUGUGAAAGCCCACGGCUCAACCGUGGAGGGUCAUUGGAAACUGGGAGACUUGAGUGCAGAAGAGGAGAGCGGAAUUCCAUGUGUAGCGGUGAAAUGCGUAGAUAUAUGGAGGAACACCAGUGGCGAAGGCGGCUCUCUGGUCUGUAACUGACGCUGAGGCUCGAAAGCGUGGGGAGCAAACAGG
Molecule: ribosomal RNA, 771 nt
Filed under: uncultured Abiotrophia sp.
Lineage: Bacteria; Bacillati; Bacillota; Bacilli; Lactobacillales; Aerococcaceae
Description: bacterial SSU rRNA
Rfam family: Bacterial small subunit ribosomal RNA
Source: RNAcentral